GAUGAACGCUGGCGGCGUGCCUAAUUCAUGCAAGUCGAGCGAACGGACGAGAAGCUUGCUUCUCUGAUGUUAGCGGCGGACGGGUGAGUAACACGUGGAUAACCUACCUAUAAGACUGGGAUAACUUCGGGAAACCGGAGCUAAUACCGGAUGAUAUUUUGAACCGCAUGGUUCAAAAGUGAAAGACGGUCUUGCUGUCACUUAUAGAUGGAUCCGCGCUGCUUUAGCUGGUUGGUAAGGUAACGGCUUCCCAAGGCAACGAUGCAUAGCCGACCUGAGAGGGUGAUCGGCCACACUGGAACUGAGACACGGUCCAGACUCCUACGGGAGGCAGCAGUAGGGAAUCUUCCGCAAUGGGCGAAAGCCUGACGGAGCAACGCCGCGUGAGUGAUGAAGGUCUUCGGAUCGUAAAACUCUGUUAUUAGGGAAGAACAUAUGUGUAAGUAACUGUGCACAUCUUGACGGUACCUAAUCAGAAAGCCACGGCUAACUACGUG
RNAcentral lists this ribosomal RNA (497 nucleotides) under uncultured bacterium. Its description in RNAcentral is "partial 16S ribosomal RNA". It matches the Rfam family "Bacterial small subunit ribosomal RNA", at positions 28 to 507 of the family's 1533-position model. The record is from RNAcentral.